CUUUUUUUCUCCUUUUUCUCUGGACCUCUUACCUUGUUCGGCGCUCCCAGAUGGCAUACUAUUUUCUAGAAAUGCAGAGCCCAAGUCUGGUGCUUCAGCCAGUGCUUUCCUCCUGCUGGAGAGAGCAGAAGGAUUGCUUCAUGUACCUCACAGGCAAAACAAACCCUCAUCCCUGUUAAAGAGCAUUCUGGUGUUUGGGACUAGAGCUCUCAUUUGUUAAAUCAUUUUCAAUUCCAGGUCUGUUCUCCAAAGGAUAUGUUGCUCUUCCUCGAUUGGCAUCAUCUGCAGACUUAAUAAGCACACACUCUGUUUUAUCAUCCAGAUCAUUAGUGGAAGUGUUGAAUAGUCCUAGACCCAGGGCAGCUCCCCGUGGAGCACAGGUCCAUCCCGCUGUUUUGUCAGUGAAACACUGGUAACAGCUUUCCAUGUACUGCUUCCCAACCACUUUUGCAUCCUUCUGCAGUGUGAAACUCCCUAGCUUCCUUAAUUCAGCUAUGAGAAUGCUAUAAAAAACAGUGUCUAAAGUUAGGAUAUAUGACAUCUGCUGCUGUUCUAUCUACAAAACCUAUCACCCUCUCACAGGAAGAAAUUACAUUGUUUUGACACAAUUUGUUCUUUAGAAACCCAUGGUGGCUGCUACUCAAGUCCUUCCUUCUCCUAGGUACAUACAAUGCAAUGUGUUCAAUUAUUUGUUCCAGUUUGGUUUUUCAUUUUCUUUUCCUGGGAUUUCAUGUUACUUCUAAUGUCAUUUUUCCUUUCAGAGAAGUAGCUGAAAUCAAGAGCUGUGGAUUUGGAGGAGUGGACACUGAGAAUGCCCGUCCCACACGUCAGUGCUGUUUGAGAUACGGUGAAGCUGUGCCAGUGACAACCAUGAGAAGAGCUCUCUGCUCAGAUGGUUUCAGAGGCUGUCUACAUCCAGAGAAAGGUAAGAAUAAAUGUAAAGUUCCUGUUGCCAUUAGAGAUGAACAAAUGUUUGAGAGAAAUCCUCGCUGGUCUCCAGCUGGACAGGGGCUGUGGCAGUGACCUUCUCCUGUCUCCACAACCAAUUUAGCAGGACACCUCCACGCUUUUCCAAAGCCUAGAAUUUAACAAAACCGUACUGGGGUGCUCCAAAGAGGUGUGAGUCCUCUCCCAGCAGCACAAGAGCAGGAUGGGAAAGAUGGCGUGGCCCAGGCCAUUGCAGACCAAGCCCUUUCCUUGCCACUGACUUGCUUCAGUGAGAGCCUUCCCCGUCUGGGCUUGUCCCUGCUCCAGUCUUUGGGCUGUUUCACUUAGGAGCUUCCCAGGAAAGACAACCAGCAUGCUGAGGGUCUCCUGCAGUGCCUCGCGUGUUGGGGCGGGUGGGAAACCAGCCUGGAGGGGACGAGGUGGCACAGCUUCUCUGGUGCAGCAUCCUGGGGACGGUGGUGACUCAGUUGCUGUCUGUCACCCCAGUGCAGUCUUCCGGGGCUCACUGCAGGUUUGUCAAGGAGCGCAGCACAGCAGGCACAAUUUGUCAAAAUGGUCUGAAAACUGACAACAUAUCUCUGGCAUUGAGUGAGUUUUUAAAAAAGUAACAUUCAGGGUAAUCUGACAUCUGUUCUCAGCCAGCUAUCGGGUCUGACAAUAGGGAAUGUAAGCACAAUAGGAUGUCACAUGAAGAGGUCUGAAUUUCACAUUGUUUCUUCUCCUUUAUGCUGGAAUAAUUUCUUAGCAGUGUAGAAAACCUAUUUCUCACCCUUUCGCAUUCUCCUGGCAGAUCUUUGAAUAUUAAUGCUGUCUCUGGCAUCCAUGAGUCAAAGCACUCUGCGCUGGGUUGAUGAGGGUUGUAGGACAUGAGCGACAUCCCCAUCUCCUGCACGGGCAGCGAGCAAUGUCCCCGUGCUGCAGUGGCACCUCGUGCUGCGGUACAGGGCGGCACUCACUUGGCAGGACCCUGGCCUGGGAAUCGGGAGGCCGAGAUUUAUCGAGCAGCUCUGGCACUGGCUUGCCUUUUGUCCAUGCUCUGCUGGUGACGUCAAAAGCACGGUGACUGUUCUUCAAA
Molecule: long non-coding RNA, 2023 nt
Organism: Anser brachyrhynchus (Pink-footed goose)
Lineage: Eukaryota; Metazoa; Chordata; Aves; Anseriformes; Anatidae
Source: Ensembl